GUGGGGAAUAUUGGACAAUGGGCGCAAGCCUGAUCCAGCCAUGCCGCGUGAGUGAUGAAGGCCCUAGGGUUGUAAAGCUCUUUCACCGGUGAAGAUAAUGACGGUAACCGGAGAAGAAGCCCCGGCUAACUUCGUGCCAGCAGCCGCGGUAAUACGAAGGGGGCUAGCGUUGUUCGGAAUUACUGGGCGUAAAGCGCACGUAGGCGGACAUUUAAGUCAGGGGUGAAAUCCCAGAGCUCAACUCUGGAACUGCCUUUGAUACUGGGUGUCUUGAGUAUGGAAGAGGUAAGUGGAAUUCCGAGUGUAGAGGUGAAAUUCGUAGAUAUUCGGAGGAACACCAGUGGCGAAGGCGGCUUACUGGUCCAUUACUGACGCUGAGGUGCGAAAGCGUGGGGAGCAAACAGGAUUAGAUACCCGAGUAGUCC
RNAcentral lists this ribosomal RNA (425 nucleotides) under uncultured bacterium. RNAcentral describes it as "partial 16S ribosomal RNA". It matches the Rfam family "Bacterial small subunit ribosomal RNA", at positions 354 to 796 of the family's 1533-position model. The record is from RNAcentral.